Molecule: long non-coding RNA, 2844 nt
Organism: Bubalus bubalis (water buffalo)
Lineage: Eukaryota; Metazoa; Chordata; Mammalia; Artiodactyla; Bovidae
Exons: 3
Source: RefSeq, a predicted model, not a curated record
AGAAGAGCCAAGGUGUUUUGGUUAUUUUUUUUCCCCCUAAAAGUCAAUGGUAAAUAGGGUUAUAACACUGUCAGAUAUAAAAUAUUUUAUUAAGAAGUGUUCAUUAUGCAUUUUCCACUUUAGUUUCCCGACAGGUGCAUGCAAUAGAAAGAUCAACGACCCUGGUUUUAGAUCUAGGUCCACAGACAAACAUACCAGGUGGAUUAUCUCUUAGCAUGUCACUCAAGCUCUGUGUCAGUUUCCUAAUUUGUUUAAAAAAAAAAAAAUACCAUAGAGGGAAAAACGGUUCUUAUCGACCCUUAGUGAAAAUAUAUCUCUAUAUCUGCUAUAUUUUUGUCAAAGAAAGCUUCUAUGGCAUGGGUGGGAGGGGGUGGUCAGUGUUAUUAGAGUGAGGGAAUGGUUGAGGGCGAGAAAGGAAUUAAUAUUUGAUUGUCCUCUCAGUAACAGCAGUGCUAGGCUUCACAGACACGUGACCAGUGCAGUCGUACAGGGCUUUGCAUUCGGCAGGGUCCUGUGCCUGGUUUACUCAUGGUGGUCACCAUUCUAAAAUCCUUAAUAACGUUAUCUUUGAUUUUGUGGUCUGUAAGUGAAGCUGGAUAUGAGGAUGGAGACAUACUUGGACCUCUGCGCUGCCUUCCCACCAGUCUGAGAUGGUUUCCUAGGUCCCUCCUCGGCUCCUGCCUUCCUGGGCCCUCGCUAGCCUCCCUCUAGCUCCAUCAGCAACAGUUGGGACCUCCCCCGUUAGCAGGCGUCUGGGCGCAGGCACAGAGCGCGUCUCUCCUGCCCCAGGUAUUUCAGAGCGGGGCAGUGCAGGGGUUGAGGGUGGGGCAAGCCUUUUACCCACUGGGGAUCCAGGUAACAAGUGCAUUUCUGAGGACCUGGGUUGGAGUGUUGGGCUAGGAGGAGGGGAAGAUGCCUGGCUCAACACCCAGCUCCUAAGAUAGGCCUGGUGUGUGGGUUGAGCAGCUGGUAAGAGUGGCUAGGCUCCUGGCAGCUAUAAGCUCCCACAUGCAGGUACGCAUGCGCCACGUGAAAAGUGCCAGGUGAGGCGGGGCGGGCGCGGCUGGUGGCUGCACGUUUACUCCUGCGCUUCAAGGAGCUCAAAGGAAAAAUACCCGGAGAGAGAGACCAAGGAAGAAAGUAUAUCAGGAUGAACAGAGUUCAGCUGAAGAAGAACAAUCAGUGUAUCUUUUGAGGAAAAGCACUUCUGAUGGAUUUUGUUUAUUUAGACCUGUUCCAGCAGAAUGCAGGUGUCUGUAACAGCCGUCUCCACACCUGGAGACAGCCCAGCUGCGGGCCGUGAACGGAGCAGUGAUAGUGUCGUGAACCAAGGACAAUGAUUCUGCCCAACUGUGUGCAUCCAAAGCAAGACUAAAGUAAGAAGGACCAAGAGGAGCACCUAAUACAGCAUCUAAUGCUGAGAACGUAUAGAAUCAUUUCUUGACUAGAUGAAUGAUAAAAGCCAUUCAUUUGGGGGACUAUAUGAGCCUUCAGGUAUUGACUGGUGAAUGUUUAAAGAGCCCCUCCCUUUUAUCCUGUUUCUGAUGAAGCCACAGAUACUUCCUAAGAGCCCCUUUACCAACUAUUUUUACAUCACUUAAUGAUUCUGUAUUAUAUCCAUUUGUAUUUUAAUGAGUAAAUUUUUCACUCUGCCCUUUUUGUUACUAAAACCAGCUUAUGAACUUCUGGAGGGCAAAGGCCACAUUCUGAAUUUCAUUUUUCUUUUCUUACAGAACUACAUGGAGUAGGUAAUCAGUAAUUGCUUAGUAGUGAAACAAACUUCUACUCAAAUUUUCCUCUUUAAAAAGAAAAAGAAAAAGUAUUUUGAAAAGAACAAAUCAUGGUCAAAAGUAAAGUCUUUCAACCGGGUUAGGUGCUCCAUGACUUCAAGUGGAUACUCUCGAUAAAGAAAAAUUUAAUAUAUAGACAGUGAAGUUGUAGCUACUAACUUUAUGUGUAGGAAUAUGUUUGUGACAAAUACAAGGAAAUUUUUAUGUGGUAAUUCUAGGAUGCAAUGAAAUUCUUAGUAUAUGAGGCAUCAAUGAUAGAAAAACAUUGUCUGUCUGAUAUUCACCCAAUUAAAAACAUCUAAACAGUGUGCUAUGCUCAUUAUCUUGCUAAGAAGAAUGGAAUCCAGAAAGCUGUUGUUAUUUCUAAGAGGUUAUUUUUGUUGUUGUUGUUUAAUCAAGUACUAAUCAGGAGAGAGGUACUUUAUAUAGCAGGAGAGCCAAUUUAUCUGACAUCAAGACUGUCCAGGCAGUUAGCCUUAGAUUAUUAUUCUUAGAAUUAUGUUAGACAUAGCUUUACUUCCAAUUAAACUGUACUUCCUGUUGUUACAGUGGUUGUAAGAGGCAAAAAUUUAAAGAAAAGGGAAAAAAUGUAUUUCCCUACACUUUCCCUUCUACCAUCUCCUGUUGUAACCUUCUAAUGUUAAUUAAUUCGUGUGUAUCAGAUAAGGUUCUUUUGAUAGACACCAAUAGAAAUCCCAAACUGAAAUAACUCAACCAAAAAGGAAUCUCAUUGUUUCAUUAAUUGAGCAUUCUGGAUCUGUUAUGAUUAGGGUUUAUUACUAGUUCUACUUACUCUGGGUUGGCUCCAUUUUAAGGCAGGGUUUUUAGUGGCAUUUACUUACAUAACAGGAAAGAGAACUUCUGCCUUCGAGAGUAGAGCAAACGCUUGGUUCUGGUAAGUUGAUAUUGAGCCAUUGACCCAUCCUUGAAUCAAUCAGUGUGACCAGGGAAAUAGAAUUAGUUUAGACCUACAGUACAAGUCUUCUUCUUUGGAUGUGGGCCUGGAGAGCCAGUUGCUUCUGAACACAUUCGUAUAUGCCUGCUGAGUCCUUGC